UUUCAGAAACACCUUUUGGCUUCUUGGGCUCAAGCAAUCCUAUCUUUAAUAUCUUUGCCUUCUCAGCUGCUCUGUCUUCUGCUGGUCCCUUGUAUUUGCCCAUUUCUCUCUCGCUGACUAAGCCCUGCUGAGAAAACCCAUAUACUUUCUCUUUCAGUGUGUGAACAUGGAUGACCUUUGCUCCUAGCUCCUGACACCAAUUCCAUUGUCUCUUCUGUGCGACUGACACUCUACUGUUGCUAUGACAUUGGGCAAGGCCACUUUUUCUGUGUGUAGUGCCUUUCCCUGGACUGAUCUGUGUGCAUCUGCACCUUUCUUCCAGUAUGCCUCUCCUCUGCCAUGCUACUAAGAGCCUAGUUUAUUCUGCAGUGCAGGAUCAGAUUAAGUAUUCCCUGGAUUCAGCAUCUGGGUGGCUGAUUAACCAGUCUGUGCAUGCAGGCUGCAACAUGAACCCAACCCUUUCAAGACACUGGUGAAUCUCUGCAGGAGAUGUGACUUGACUGGAGACUCAGGUGAUAACAAGGGGCUAAGAAGAAUGAAGACACAGAGCCUUGUCUAUUGCCUGUGAUCCACAAGACUCAGCACAAGAAAUGGAAGAAAGAAAUCUCAGCCGUAAUAAGUGUUUGUUUUCAUCUUUUUAAAAUUCAUAUUCAUCACUAUUGGGGAUUUAUUUCCUGCUUUUUUUUUUUUUUUUUAAAUGAACUUGGCAUAUGUUAAAAAACAAAUAAUAGCAAAGUUCUCCAGUCAGAUCUCAUACCCUCUGUACAUGUAGAAAUUCCCUGUGGUGUAACUGUUUUUCUCCCAGGUCUGGACUGUAGUCUCCUUUACCCUUCCUGCUCUUGGAUCCCUCUCUCUCAAAAAUGGGAUGAAAACUUCACCUGUGUACUGCAGGCUCCUCUUUUAAAGCUUGUAGUUCUAACCUGUUCUGCAACAGGUCUUUUACACAGCAAUGCCACCGAUCUAUUUAUU
Molecule: long non-coding RNA, 969 nt
Filed under: Anas platyrhynchos platyrhynchos (common mallard)
Lineage: Eukaryota; Metazoa; Chordata; Aves; Anseriformes; Anatidae
Description: lncRNA (ENSAPLG00000026063.1)
Source: RNAcentral